UAAGUUAAUAGGUAGUGCGCUGGAAUUAAUGGAAAUUACGUGAUUUUAACCACACAUUUGACUUCUGUUGAUAAAGAAAUUGGAAAUUUUUUGUAAUAAAGAUUCAACCCAAAAGAGUAAUUGCUGCUUUGCCUUCCUUUUUUUUUUUAUUGUUCUGAUAAUGAUCAAGAAACCACCUUCUUUGGAUGAGUCUGAGCUUGAUUUGCCACCGGUAAAUUGGGUCGGUUGAGAUAGCACCAACAAACGAGCCGAGCCGAGACGAAUCCUUCCACUGUGCUUGCUGGAUUCUUUGAACGACGUGGUAUUUAUCCCCUCCAGGAACGGAAGAAGGCGAAGGCGGAGGCGGCGGCGGCAGCAGCAGCAGCAGCAGCAGCGUGAUGGAGUUCUGCCCGACGUGCGGGAUGCUGCUGCAGAUCGAGCGGGCGAGCCAAGGGCGGAGGUGCCGCCUCUUCUGCCCCACCUGCCCCUACGUCUGCACCAUCUCCAACAAGAUGGUCAUCAAGCAUAAUUUGGUGAAGAAAGAAUUGGAGCAUAUCUUUAGCGGCGCCGACAGCAUGAAGUUUGCUCCAAGAACUGCAGCAACCUGCCCAAGGUGUCACCACGGAGAGGCAUUCUUCAGGCAAAUGCAGAUUCGUUCAGCUGACGAACCCAUGACAACAUUCUACCGAUGCUGCAACGAGAGAUGCAAUUACGAAUGGCGAGACGACUGAUCUCAUAUCUGAUGCGCAUGGGAGUGGAACUGUUUUCGCUUUCUCAAUCAAGCAUCGGCGUACUCUUGUCCUAUUUCUAUUGCUUUCUGCAUGCAGACCGGAAAGGAGAGAUUUAAGUGCGAAGUUUUCUAUGCACACAACACGUUGCUGCUCGUUAUGUCAAGAUUGCAGCAGCAGACAGUCGAUGAGAAGGAGAAAACAACAUAUGAAGAGGAGGGAGGACGGCAAGUCCGACAAGUUCACGUGUCCAUCCGGAGCAAUUGUGCGUUAGAAUUAAAGCAUGAAGAGGAAGGAGGACAGGAGUCCUCCACACGAGUACGUCCUUUUUUCCUAGAGAGUAAUGAAGUGAUUGAUGCAGCUGCAAUCUAAAGUGAUCCAGCAGCUCUAAACUACCCCCAUAUAUUACUGAUAAUCUAAUUAAUA
Molecule: RNA transcript, 1133 nt
Organism: Musa acuminata subsp. malaccensis (wild Malaysian banana)
Lineage: Eukaryota; Viridiplantae; Streptophyta; Magnoliopsida; Zingiberales; Musaceae
Source: RefSeq, a predicted model, not a curated record